CCCACAAGAACAGGGUUACCCUUCAAAUGCUGGUGGCACUGCAGGUUGCAAAUCAGAGAGCUGUUCUCCUCUGGGAGUUUAGCAUGUGAAAGAAAGGUCAUGCAUGGUAAAGCUGACCAACAGAGAAAAAUGGAUGUGUGUGUGUGCACAUACACUAGAAGAGAGUCUUUGAGGAUGUAUGCCUUCAUUUAAAAAAAAAAAAAAAGAUAUUUAGAUUUUUAGAGAUAUUAAGUGAGUACUCUGUGUGUGAAGAUAUAGAUAUCAACUUUUCAGAGCUUUUUUCUUUUUUUUUCUUUUUUUUUCUUUUUUUUUUUUCCCUCGGACAAAGGAGGAGUUCUUGUCUUAUGUUCACACUGUGUCCCUCAGAGACUCUCAUGCAAAAAAACAGCAUGACAAGAAGGGGAAAUUUUUCUUUAUUUUUUGUUAGUGCUGAUGAAGUCUUCGGGGAUUCAAAAUAUAGAAUUGAAUGAGAAUGCUGGGAGCUUCCCAGGAGAGGCACAGAGGAGGCUGCUCAGCUCUUUGUUACUUCUCCUGGGUUUUCCUCUGCACCGCACUGGUUCACUGAGAGCCCAUUCCAUUACGUUGAGGGACUGUAUACACAGAUGUACACAGAGUGGGGACGAUGAGAUUCAGAAUAAAAUACCAUACCAAGUGAUUGCAGCCUCUAAUGAGACAGAACUACUGUCCUCUUCACAGCUCCUUGCAGCUGAUCCAACAGAUAGAUCUUCGACCUUCACAUCUCAUUUUGAUCCUUUCUGCCACAUCUGUGCCGAGGCGUUGCUGUAUGUACUUUGAGUGUGACUCUUCACAUCCUGGAAUGGUCAGAACUUCUUAGAGCCGAGAAGAUAGGAAGAAGAUGCAGCAAAAUGAUUUUAAAAGCUUGGGAACUUCCUUUUAAAUUCUAAUGUGAAAGAGUUUUCCUAUUGAGCACACACACAUGGCAGUACAAUCCGUUUGUACACGCUUUACCGGUAACUGAGGCAUCAUAGCAACCCAUAUAUCAGUCAUGCCCAUGUGAACAAGCCUGCUGUCAUUUCCACUGGAGACACAUUUCUGGGUUUUCUGGGCUUCCUUAAAGCUGACUACGUUUAAGAGUUCAGGAUUGUGAUGUGCCACAAAAUGUUUUGAUGACAAAUAUCCAUUUAAAAAUUUAUUUUAACUUUUUGGCUGAUAUAAAGAAGAUCUAAUCAUAAACACCCUGGGUGAUGAGAGCAGCAGCAGUCCUUCUUUUUUUUUGGUCCAGCAGCUCUGUAGUUUCUAGAUCUAAGCCCCUAUAGAAAAUAAAAUGUCACUGAAGAUUGGAAUGACUUCA
RNAcentral lists this long non-coding RNA (1312 nucleotides) under Numida meleagris (helmeted guineafowl). RNAcentral's name for it is "lncRNA (ENSNMEG00000020377.1)". Lineage: Eukaryota; Metazoa; Chordata; Aves; Galliformes; Numididae. The record is from RNAcentral.